GAUGAACGCUGGCGGCGUGCCUAAUACAUGCAAGUCGAGCGAACAGACGAGGAGCUUGCUCCUCUGACUUUAGCGGCGGACGGGUGAGUAACACGUGGAUAACCUACCUAUAAGACUGGGAUAACUUAGGGAAACCGGAGCUAAUACCGGAUAAUAUAUUGAACCGCAUGGUUCAAUAGUGAAAGACGGCUUUGCUGUCACUUAUAGAUGGAUCCGCGCCGCAUUAGCUAGUUGGUAAGGUAACGGCUUACCAAGGCAACGAUGCGUAGCCGACCUGAGAGGGUGAUCGGCCACACUGGAACUGAGACACGGUCCAGACUCCUACGGGAGGCAGCAGUAGGGAAUCUUCCGCAAUGGGCGAAAGCCUGACGGAGCAACGCCGCGUGAGUGAUGAAGGUCUUCGGAUCGUAAAGCUCUGUUAGUAGGGAAGAACAAAUGUGUAAGUAACUAUGCACGUCUUGACGGUACCUAAACAGAAAGCCACGGCUAACUACGUG
RNAcentral lists this ribosomal RNA (497 nucleotides) under uncultured bacterium. Its description in RNAcentral is "partial 16S ribosomal RNA". It matches the Rfam family "Bacterial small subunit ribosomal RNA", at positions 28 to 507 of the family's 1533-position model. The record is from RNAcentral.